This 857-nucleotide ribosomal RNA is filed under the name uncultured bacterium. RNAcentral describes it as "bacterial SSU rRNA". It matches the Rfam family "Bacterial small subunit ribosomal RNA", at positions 47 to 886 of the family's 1533-position model. The record is from RNAcentral.
CCUAAUACAUGCAAGUCGAACGCUGAUGAGAGGAGCUUGCUUUCUUGGAUGAGUUGCGAACGGGUGAGUAACGCGUAGGUAACCUGCCUUGUAGCGGGGGAUAACUAUUGGAAACGAUAGCUAAUACCGCAUAACAAUGGAUGAGAGAUGUCAUUUAUUUGAAAGGGGCAAUUGCUCCACUACAAGAUGGACCUGCGUUGUAUUAGCUAGUAGGUGAGGUAACGGCUCACCUAGGCGACGAUACAUAGCCGACCUGAGAGGGUGAUCGGCCACACUGGGACUGAGACACGGCCCAGACUCCUACGGGAGGCAGCAGUAGGGAAUCUUCGGCAAUGGGGGCAACCCUGACCGAGCAACGCCGCGUGAGUGAAGAAGGUUUUCGGAUCGUAAAGCUCCGUUGUAAGUCAAGAACGAGUGUGAGAGUGGAAAGUUCACACUGUGACGGUAGCUUACCAGAAAGGGACGGCUAACUACGUGCCAGCAGCCGCGGUAAUACGUAGGUCCCGAGAGUUGUCCGGAUUUAUUGGGCGUAAAGCGAGAGCAGGCGGAUUUAUAAGUCUGAAGUUAAAGGCUGUGGCUCAACCCAUAGUUUCGCUUUGAAACUGUCAAACUUGAGUGCAGAAGGGGACAGUGGAAUUCCAUGUGUAGCGGUGAAAUGCGUAGAUAUAUGGAGGAACACCGGUGGCGAAAGCGGCUCUCUGGUCUGUAACUGACGCUGAGGCUCGAAAGCGUGGGGAGCGAACAGGAUUAGAUACCCUGGUACUCCACGCCGUAAACGAUGAGUGCUAGGUGUUGGAUCCUUUCCGGGAUUCAGUGCCGCACGUAACGCAUUAAGCACUCCGCCUGGGGAGUACGAC